Molecule: long non-coding RNA, 904 nt
Organism: Talpa occidentalis (Iberian mole)
Lineage: Eukaryota; Metazoa; Chordata; Mammalia; Eulipotyphla; Talpidae
Exons: 3
Source: RefSeq, a predicted model, not a curated record
GACCACUGGGGGUGGAGGGGUGCAGAAUGGGUGGUGGAGAGGGAGUGGGGUGAUAACGUUGGGGGGGGGAGUUAAAAACGAAUAAAAAUCUCUCAGCUACAGAACCCAAAGACAUUACUUCCCUCCGCAUUCACAGCAUUUCUCAGCAAUCCCCGAUGGUCAUUUCCGUGGGGACACAGCAUUUGCCUCACUUCCCCUCAGGCCCCAUGGGCUGCUGGUCAACCUCAGGAUCUACUAAAGACGAUGCAAACGCCGACUGAACAAUCUGAAACCCAAAGGACUCGAGGAGAGACAUGUUCUGCUGGGGAGAGAAAGCUACUCCACAGACCUACCCAGACCAAAUAAUGACGUCUCGCCCGCUGGCUACAGCAAGUUGUCCCAACUAUAACUGAGUCAUCUGCCUGAUCACUGGGCAUCAGACUGGCUUUAGAGGGUCCCCUAUGAACAUUCCUAAGAGGGAGGAUGUAGUCAAGAAUAAAGAGAUGAGCCAAUGGAAAGGAGGAUCCCAGCCCUGCCUCUUGGAUUGGCACGUGGCCCCUGGCAACCAGCUGAAGAACUGCACAGAGAAAGCAACAUACAUCUUUAAAUAUGUUCCAUAUUGGGUGUCAGCCCACUGAACGCGCACUGCCCCAUUACCUUGCUAGAGCAGCGCUACUCCAGCUACCUCUGCCUAACAGAAGCACAGCCUGAGAUCUCCAGGUAAGACCACGGUGAAAAUUCACCUCCUGACUUUGUGGUCAACGUGAAAAGCAAAUGCAUGGAGUGCUGAGGAAGAACCACUGUUGCUAUCCGUUCCCAAAUGUCUAUGUGCAUCAAGGCAGGCCUUGGGGUCCUCAGUCACUUUUAAGUAAAUAUUACUAAUUUGAAUAGAGCACUUUAUAUUAAUGAAAUACUGCCUUUAUCA